RNAcentral lists this ribosomal RNA (253 nucleotides) under uncultured bacterium. Its description in RNAcentral is "partial 16S ribosomal RNA". It matches the Rfam family "Bacterial small subunit ribosomal RNA", at positions 524 to 776 of the family's 1533-position model. The record is from RNAcentral.
UACGUAGGGGGCAAGCGUUAUCCGGAAUUACUGGGUGUAAAGGGAGCGUAGACGGUAAUGUAAGUCUGGAGUGAAAGGCGGGGGCCCAACCCCCGGACUGCUCUGGAAACUAUGUUACUAGAGUGCAGGAGAGGUAAGCGGAAUUCCUAGUGUAGCGGUGAAAUGCGUAGAUAUUGGGAGGAACACCAGUGGCGAAGGCGGCUUACUGGACUGUAACUGACGUUGAGGCUCGAAAGCGUGGGGAGCAAACAGG